This 1176-nucleotide ribosomal RNA is filed under the name Vibrio parahaemolyticus. RNAcentral describes it as "partial 23S ribosomal RNA". It matches the Rfam family "Bacterial large subunit ribosomal RNA", at positions 1757 to 2925 of the family's 2925-position model. Lineage: Bacteria; Pseudomonadati; Pseudomonadota; Gammaproteobacteria; Vibrionales; Vibrionaceae. The record is from RNAcentral.
GCGGAUGGAGCUGACGAGAGUCGCAGAUACCAGGUGGCUGCAACUGUUUAUUAAAAACACAGCACUGUGCAAAAUCGUAAGAUGACGUAUACGGUGUGACGCCUGCCCGGUGCCGGAAGGUUAAUUGAUGGGGUUAGACUUCGGUCGAAGCUCUUGAUCGAAGCCCCGGUAAACGGCGGCCGUAACUAUAACGGUCCUAAGGUAGCGAAAUUCCUUGUCGGGUAAGUUCCGACCUGCACGAAUGGCGUAAUGAUGGCCACGCUGUCUCCACCCGAGACUCAGUGAAAUUGAAAUCGCUGUGAAGAUGCAGUGUACCCGCGGCUAGACGGAAAGACCCCGUGAACCUUUACUACAGCUUGGCACUGAACAUUGACCCUACAUGUGUAGGAUAGGUGGGAGGCUUUGAAGCACGUACGCCAGUAUGUGUGGAGCCGUCCUUGAAAUACCACCCUUGUAGUGUUGAUGUUCUAACGUCGACCCCUUAUCGGGGUUGCGGACAGUGCCUGGUGGGUAGUUUGACUGGGGCGGUCUCCUCCCAAAGAGUAACGGAGGAGCACGAAGGUGGGCUAAUCACGGUUGGACAUCGUGAGGUUAGUGCAAUGGCAUAAGCCCGCUUGACUGCGAGAAUGACAAUUCGAGCAGGUGCGAAAGCAGGUCAUAGUGAUCCGGUGGUUCUGAAUGGAAGGGCCAUCGCUCAACGGAUAAAAGGUACUCCGGGGAUAACAGGCUGAUACCGCCCAAGAGUUCAUAUCGACGGCGGUGUUUGGCACCUCGAUGUCGGCUCAUCACAUCCUGGGGCUGAAGUCGGUCCCAAGGGUAUGGCUGUUCGCCAUUUAAAGUGGUACGCGAGCUGGGUUUAGAACGUCGUGAGACAGUUCGGUCCCUAUCUGCCGUGGGCGUUGGAAGAUUGAAGGGGGCUGCUCCUAGUACGAGAGGACCGGAGUGGACGAACCUCUGGUGUUCGGGUUGUGUCGCCAGACGCAUUGCCCGGUAGCUAAGUUCGGAAUCGAUAACCGCUGAAAGCAUCUAAGCGGGAAGCGAGCCCUGAGAUGAGUCUUCCCUGAUACUUUAAGUAUCCUAAAGGGUUGUCGGAGACUACGACGUUGAUAGGUCAGGUGUGUAAGUGCUGUGAGGCAUUGAGCUAACUGAUACUAAUUGCCCGUGAGGCUUAACCAU